AUUGAUCGCUGGCGGCAGGCCUAACACAUGCAAGUCGAGCGAGCGGCGGACGGGUGAGUUAUGUCUGGGACACUGCCUGAUGGGGGGGGAUAACUACUGGAAACGGUAGCUAAUACCGCAUACCAUCAGAUGUGCCCCGAUGGGAUUAGCUAGUAGGUGGGGUAACGUCUCACUUAGGCGACGAUCCCUAGCUGGUCUGAGUGGAUGACCAACCACACUGGAACUGAGACACGGUCCAUCCUCCGACGGGAGGGAGAAGUGGGAAAUAGUGCACAAUGGGCGAAAGCCUGAUGCAGCCAUGCCGCGUGUGGGAAGAAGGCCUUAGGGUUGUAAAGCACUUUCAGCGGUGAGGCGUUACCCGCAGAAGAAGCACCGGCUAACUCCGUGCCAGCAGCCGCGGUAAUAC
RNAcentral lists this ribosomal RNA (406 nucleotides) under uncultured bacterium. RNAcentral describes it as "partial 16S ribosomal RNA". It matches the Rfam family "Bacterial small subunit ribosomal RNA", at positions 30 to 526 of the family's 1533-position model. The record is from RNAcentral.